AUGAAUUAAGGGGAUGGAGCUCCCCUUUGAAUUCUGUUAAUUUUACAGAUGAUGGCUCCUAUCUUUUA
This 68-nucleotide non-coding RNA is filed under the name Halanaerobium saccharolyticum. RNAcentral's name for it is "Fluoride sequence". It matches the Rfam family "Fluoride riboswitch aptamer (crcB RNA motif)". Lineage: Bacteria; Bacillati; Bacillota; Clostridia; Halanaerobiales; Halanaerobiaceae. RNAcentral also lists the same sequence under 1 other name. The record is from RNAcentral.